RNAcentral lists this ribosomal RNA (462 nucleotides) under uncultured bacterium. RNAcentral describes it as "partial 16S ribosomal RNA". It matches the Rfam family "Bacterial small subunit ribosomal RNA", at positions 28 to 507 of the family's 1533-position model. The record is from RNAcentral.
GACGAACGCUGGCGGCGUGCUUAACACAUGCAAGUCGAACGGAAAGGCCCUUCGGGGUACUCGAGUGGCGAACGGGUGAGUAACACGUGGGUGAUCUGCCCUGCACUUUGGGAUAAGCCUGGGAAACUGGGUCUAAUACCGAAUAGGACCACGCGCUUCAUGGUGUGUGGUGGAAAGCUUUUGCGGUGUGGGAUGGGCCCGCGGCCUAUCAGCUUGUUGGUGGGGUAAUGGCCUACCAAGGCGACGACGGGUAGCCGGCCUGAGAGGGUGACUGGCCACACUGGGACUGAGAUACGGCCCAGACUCCUACGGGAGGCAGCAGUGGGGAAUAUUGCACAAUGGGCGCAAGCCUGAUGCAGCGACGCCGCGUGAGGGAUGACGGCCUUCGGGUUGUAAACCUCUUUCAAUAGGGACGAAGCGCAAGUGACGGUACCUAUAGAAGAAGCACCGGCCAACUACGUG